UGUGUACUCCCUCCGUUCCAAAAUACUUGACUUCCAUUUGUCCAAAAAUGGAUGUACCUAUAUACUAAGACAUGUCUAGAUACAUAUAUAUUUUGACAAAUAGAACGCAUGUAUUGUGCAACGGAGGGAGUAGAAU
This is a non-coding RNA of Triticum aestivum (bread wheat), 136 nucleotides long. The record is from Rfam. Lineage: Eukaryota; Viridiplantae; Streptophyta; Magnoliopsida; Poales; Poaceae.